UACGGAGGGGGCAAGCGUUGUUCGGAAUUACUGGGCGUAAAGGGCGCGCAGGCGGCUGCUCAAGUCAGGCGUGAAAGGCCUGGGCUCAACCCGGGAAUUGCGCUUGAGACUGGGCUGGCUUGAGUGCGGGAGAGGAUGGUGGAAUUCCCAGCGUAGAGGUGAAAUUCGUAGAUAUUCGCAAGAACACCAGUGGCGAAGGCGGCUCACUGGCCCGGUACUGACGCUGAGGUGCGAAAGCGUGGGGAGCAAACAGG
Molecule: ribosomal RNA, 254 nt
Filed under: uncultured bacterium
Lineage: Bacteria
Description: partial 16S ribosomal RNA
Rfam family: Bacterial small subunit ribosomal RNA
Source: RNAcentral